CAAAAACCACACCAGCUCUCAAUUUUUUGUACAAUCAAGAAUCUAACUUCGAUUUGGCUGCGUAAAUAGAAUUUCUCCGAACUUGAUUAGGGUCUCAAAUUCAAACUCAAAAUGAUUGUGAUUCUUACAUCUUAGGAGGUGCAACUCCUGCGAUGAGAGUCUCAGUUCUGGUGUUCUCUGAGAUGUCAGGGUACAUGCCACAGCUGCAAGAAUUCAAGAAGAUGAGGGAAGAAAGAUUAAAGAGAAACUCUUAGGAAGUUUGUUUGGUGCAUGAGAAACAAUUUUCCAAGAAAAAGAAACUCUUACCCGUUGCAGCCGCUGCCGCACUUGCAUCCAGAGCCACAGCCACAGUUUCCUCCGCAGCAAGACAUUUUCUUUAGGGAUUUGGAAGAGGCUUAUCACUUGACAAUUGAAUUCUUCAACUAUAGGAUGAUUCAUAAGGCCCUUGCCUCAGCUCGAAUUUAUCGCGCGGUUGGAGCUGAAAGUCUUUCAUAUCCACCAUACACGUGGAAACAUCUAACGUCAGUAACGUCUGUGUGGCAGGUUCUAUCUCCCCUAGGUAAGAACCGACAAAUCUCUCUCUCUUUGUCUCUCUAACCUUUCUUUCUUUGUCAUCACAAAUCAUAAUAUUUGAAAUAUAUUAAUUAUCUUGCUUAUGACGUGUACGAUAAUUGGUUAGUUUUUUUAUUAAAUCAAUUAAUUGGCUUCUUCUAAACAAAAUCUUAACACCUCUAGUGUUUGAACAAAAUAAAAAAAAUGAUUUCUUUUAUAAUUUUUAAUUUAUAUUAAUAUGCUUGGUAACCCUUCAAAUUGAAUAGAUAAUAUAAUUAAACCGAAUCGAACAUUUAGAAAUAAAAUUAACAACAAAUAGAAAUUAAUUUAGGGUCAAGGAAUUAAUGCUUACUAAAAAAGAAGUAUUACUUGUUUUAAAAAAAAAAGGGUAUUAUUUUUUUCCAGUAGACAAAGUUGUCUGAAUCACAGAGAAAAGGAUGCAAUUAUUUUCUACAAGGAUUAUUAUCACUUUCAUGGAAGAAAUCAAGAGAACAAGUUAAAUUGAAGCCGACAAUUAGAAUAUAUUAUUAUUUUUGGUAACGUAGAACCAUUUUAAAAAUAAGUAAAUACUUUUUCAAUUGAAAUAAGAAAAAAAUAAAAAUAUGUAUGAAGGAUGUAAACGUCAGCUAGAUAUUAAGGCAUGAAUCUUGCAGCUUUGUACAUUAGCAAUUCACUCGCUUGAAUGUAUCAUUUCAUCUUUAACAUUGGCUUUUUAUAAUUCUGGGAUAUAGAUCCUUUUUUUUAAAUUAAAUAUAAAGAAUGCAAAUUAUUACCUUUUUUUUCUAGUUAAUCAUGUUAUGUUGUUUUUAUUUAUUUGAAUGUAAUGAAAAGCAUGCAGUUCUAAACUAGAAUGAAACAAUAGAAUUUUUGACAAGGAAAGUGGGAGAGAGUUACCCUACCCUACUGCUACAAAGAAAGAAGGAUAAAAUCAUAAUGAAAUGGGCAGAGAAUAAGAGGCUUUUGCUUUGGGAAUCCUUCACUUUUGUAGCAAAAAGAGUGGUGCAUGUGAUAUAGCUUUGGUGCUUCAGUUGCAGUGCUAUUUUCUUCAAUCAGAUACCCUGUCUUUAUAUCUAUGUCUAUGUAUAUAUUUUUUUACAAAAAAACUGCCUUUUUCUUCCCAAGCCCAAUGCACUUUUCUUAUCUUCUUUUAUUUGUUUAACAUUUAGGACCUUCAGUUCCUUUUCAGAAGAUCUGUUUCGGCAUUUUGCGACUUGUGCAUGCUGCAGCUGCGGGGGUCCUAAAUGUCUUAAAUGAGCUAAAGACAUGCUUAGAAGCUAAAACUACAACUAUUAGUAGAGCUACAGCCUAAUUUUCAUGGACAGUACACAACUCCACUUUGGUGGGCAUUGAAUUUCCUGUAUCCUUUGAAUGUGUGAAUUCUUCUCUUCCUAACUUCAACAUCUUGUCUACCUUCCUUUUUUUUUCCCUCGUCAAUGAGGGGAUUAUUUUAUUUACUAGCUAUUUAUUGCGUGUUCCCACUAGCUUCAUAAUUCAUCAUUAUUUUGAUCCUCAAAUUCAAAAAGUACCUGUAUUGAAGUAUGAAGAUAGAAGAUAGGAUCUUCCAUAUCUGGGUACAAGCUCCAUCGUUUAGAUAAGGGACUCAUGACAAAACCCACUAUUGUUGAUUUUUCUGCCGCAUUUGUUUUAUGCAAUUCACAUGCAUCAUGCAUGCCCAUCUGAUUUUGGACCACAUACCAGGACAAAAAGAAGUGCAUGAUAGGAAUAGUAGCUCAAGAGAGCUGCCACCAUUGAAUUGGGUCUUUACUCUCACCCAUGGGAAUAUUUAUGAAUGACCUACAUAUAAUGAUUGUGACGAGAGAGGGAGUUUAUCUUUAAAAUAGGACCAUGAUAGUCAACAAAAUAGUGAAUGAGCUUCAUGCUUGAGGUCCUAAGGUAUUAAAAUCCCACUGAUUUUUUUUUUCUAAGACAUUUGAAUCCCAUUUCAUGCAUUAGUGGGGCAUUCUAUCUACUGUCAGGUCUGAUGCUGCUGAGAAGGUUUGGCCGGUAAGAAGCUUAAGAUUAGAUAGAUGUUAUGCUGACGUGCAUAUCAGAUUUCCAUGAUUGAGAUGCGGGAAAUGGGUUGAAAGGACACAGGACUCAAAUGCGGACAACCGGUGGUAGUAGGUAACUCCAACAAGAUUGAUCUCAAUUAGAUAUUAUGGGGCCAGCAGUUAAAUAAAUCAUACAAAGAAACAUGUCAGUUACAUCUGAAAUUUCUAAAAUUCUUGACAAGGAGCACCCAUUGCCGAGGCACCUUCAAUAGCCAACUGCUUGUCCUGCAAUUCCUGCACAAGCUUAGUUUUCAAGGUGCCCCAGGUGCCAUAUGAAACUCGAUAUGCUGGGCAUAAAUUUUUUGUAAAACCUAUCAUAAACAGAACUAGUAUUCCUAUCAAAUUUGUCAUGAACAGUCGAUUUUAACUAAACCAAGUCUCUGCAAUUUCACACUAUCCAUAAGCAUCCUAAGACCAGCUUUUAGUUCUGGUACCCCUUCCUCCAAGACGGCACAAACUGGAUAUAUAGGAACAUCUUGAACUCUUCUUUUCAAUUCUUCAUAUACUUCAUCAGCCCCUGCCUCAUCAAUUUUAUUCGCCACAACUAAGGAGGGCCGAUCAGACAGGCCCUCUUGAUGAUGCUCAAGCUCCAAAACUAAAUCUUUCAAUUGUUCCCACGGUGGAAAUCCCUUUCUGCCAUCUAAUCCAGCAGCCAAGUCUAGCACAUAAGCUAAAACCUUAGUACGUUCAAUGUGCCGUAGGAAAGCAUGUCCAAGUCCACGAUUCUCGUGAGCACCUUUUAUGAGUCCUGGAAUGUCAGCCACUGUGAUUGAGAAGUCAUCAAAAUUCAGUUUUCCUAAAUUUGGCCUAAGUGUCGUGAAGGCAUAAUGACCCACCCUAGGUUUUGCUCUGGAUAAAGCUCCUAAAAGAGUACUUUUACCAGCAUUUGGCAUUCCAACGAGGCCCACAUCAGCAAUGCUUUUCAGUUCCAGCAAAAGAACAGCCUCUGAGCCAGGCAACCCAAUGCUAAGGCAGGAUUGAUCCUCACUGACAUAUCAGGAUCCAAGACCAUAUCCCUAUUGACUCCAGGCUUACUUAACUUGGCCUUCUUUGAAACAUCAGGAGAAGACACAUUACCCAAACCACCCUCCCCUCCACGAGCAACAAUUAUUUGCUGACCCAGUUUUGUUAACUCUGCAACAUCAUAGUGUAUAUGUUCCACACCUGCUGGCUCUCUUUGAAUGGCUUGUAUGCUUGCAAAUUCCUCUGAAGUUCCUUUAGCUUGUGUUAAUGAGCCACCAGAAAUAUCCGAUGGCUCAGCUUCUUUUUCCAUGUUUGUGCUCUUAGAGACAGACUGCCAGUGAGAUUCUGAUUGAUCAGUAUGGAGAGUGCCUGGAAGUUCCCACGGGUCCAAGUCUGUUUUGGAACAGUUUUGGACUGUAGAUGGAAGUUCACCCUUCAAAAGAUGAAUUACAGUCCCGAUAGGUACUUGCACAACCUACUACACACGAGUACUCAUGGUUAGAUAAACUGCCAAACAACAGGUGGCAUCAUAAAAUCUUGCCGUUUAUAGAACUUAUAAAUAGUAACCUUAUCCUCCCCUCGAGUUCCUAUCAUACUCUUUGAAGCUCCAUUCCCCCCUCUCGCUGCAUUCUAUACAAUAAAGGCAGAACUUGAGUGUCCUCAUGCAAUAAUACUAGUAGAGUUGAAAAAAUACUGGAAAGGUAAGGACUACAUACAACAUGAUGGUGUAAACCACUCAAGUCCCAGAUUGCAGGGGAACACUCUAAAAUCACAUCACCACCUCUUCCACCUGUAUUAUUGAAUCCACAUGAACCAGAAUGCUACCAGAAAGACUAUUUCACAAAUUUUAAUGCACUUGCUCGUAAACACCAUGCAAUAAUCAGCUAAAUUUAUGAAGUUCAACGGAAAUAAUGACGAUGAAAGGGAAAAAAUUGAACCCAGUAUGAAGAUUGAGAAACUAGAUAAAUUAUGAUUAAAGAAAAAUAACCAUAAUAAUAUUGUAUCCACUUGGUUUUUAGUAUCACAUCUAGCAUACUUAAUGCUGUUAUAAAACUUGAUCUAAUAAACAUACCAUCAGGUCUGCCGGGGAUCAUGUUGACUUCGGCGAAAACUGGAGCAACCCUUUCCACCAUCACCUCCCUUAGCAUGUAGUGUAAACCUAUCUCUCAUUCUGGUUUCCUACAAAUAGCACCCUAAUAACCCUUUACUAAGAUGAACAAGUAGUAAAAAAAUCAAGAAAUGAUUACACAGAAUUAUGUGAAGCUAUUAGGGUUAUAAAAAUGUGAGAAAUAGGGAAGAAACAAAUAGAUUGGCAGACCUGCAAAGGGGCACACUUUGCUUUUGUGUGAGUAGCGUCUGAACAAGAGAACAAAGACAAAUAGAUCCAUGGAGAUUUAGAAGAUUUUCUCAAGGCAUCUAUGUGGCAAAAGGAUUUUGCGCAGCGUAACCGCAUAACUCUCUUUUUCCUGUCUAGAUAUCCUUCAAAUCCUCCUCAAAUGGAAAAAGUUCGCAUUCAAUUUUUUGCUUAUCUCUGCAACCUAUAGAAAGAAAUAUCUUAGAUACUGAUACAGCAACAGAGACAUUCCUGGAAAAUUGUAAACCAAACCAUGCCACAAUGCAGAUGCUGAACAUGACCCAUACAAGAUAACUAAAGAAAUUGAUAUUUACAGCACUUCACAGCCAGUUCCAACGAAAAGAAUCCGCCUUCCUUUAUUAUAACAUGUCCAGAUAAUCAUAAAAACAAAAUAAGUAUCACUUUUAACAAUCACAUUUACCAAAAUUUGCUAAAUUGUCAGUUGCAAGCAAAGUAAAAGCUUUAUUAAGCCCAACAACUUGUGCCAUAAACAGACCAACAACUGAAACAAUAUGCUAGAAAGGAAUUUGAGAUAACCAAAUAAAAGAUGAAAUAUUCAGGAAUGAGCACAUACAGGCAUCUAAAGGAAACAGACAUUCAAAACAUUCAUCAAAUCAAUAAUCAACAAGAAAAUUGAAUUUUAACAACAAAGAGAGUGGAGAAGGCUAAUAUGGUGUAUUUAACACAAAAUGAAAGAAACUAAAAGACCAAAUUGAUUGAACUUAUAUUCAUCUAAGACCCUUGAAUAAAACUUUCUUUCAGUUUACGGAAAAAAAAAAUUGUUUAGUGAUAAUGAAAACUAAUGGAGUCAAAGGAAAAUGUCCAUUGUUAAAAGAAUUGAACCCAUUCAUAGGAUUCCUCACCAGGCCUUGCAAGGAGUCUCCUUGGCCAUGGUUCUAACAUUAAUGACCAUUCUAAUGCCACCAAUGAGCUUUGGUUUGAUAUUAGGGUCAUCAGCUUGAACCAUUAAAAAAAAGGAACAAAGAAAUAACCAUUCUAAUGUUGUAGGGGGCCAGGGAUUUUAUGGUUACUGUUAGGAUCCCGUGUAGGAUGUAGUUGUGGGUUGUGUGACGAGUCUUUUGGCAAGAUAGGAGAAAACAAGGAUGGAUUUUCUUUUUGCGAUCUAUUUUGAAAAGCUGUCAGGCUUAUCAGGGAGAACAUGCAACCUCUUGAGUUUAAAGUACUCAAAGACCUUUUUGAAAUUUUUUUAGCUAACGUUUAUUAACCUGCUGUCAAUUUAAAUACAAGUUGGAGUUUUAACUCUCUCCUAAAAAAUAAGAACUUAAAAUAGCAUAAUAGAAGCUAACCUCGUACAAAUCAGAAUUUGAAAAUAACUAAAAAAAAUAUGGAAAUAACUAAAUAACUAAACAAAAUAUGCUGGUAACAUCAUAAGACCCAUGAUCUUAGCCACUAUCCAUUACUAUGCAUAAACUCAUAAUCUAUGCCACUAUCCAUUGUUGAAUAACUAUCCAUUAUUGCAUCAAUGACGAAGAAUCUAUUGGAAUGGUGGUUUGCUAACAUUAGUCCCCUCUUCCACUAUGCACUUGUCUUCAAGCGCAAGCUUAGGAAAUUUCUAGGAACUAUUUAGCCAGUGGCUGGUCUAUUGUGACAUCUCCUGGGUCAUCAUCUGCUAACUCCAACUAACUCCAACCAGAAUAGUUUUUUGCACCAGUUUUUGAAAUAUUCCCAUGUCAAGUUCGGAUAGUCUUGUAACAAUUGUAGGAACUAUAGUUGUGUUAUACCCUCCAAGUGAAAUGAAGCUAGAUUAACCUUCUUCUCUUUUGAAGUUUGUUAAUGUUGGAAAAAUUGAUCAUAUCUGUUGAGCCACCCUAAAGGAUCCUCCCGUCCAUUGAAACGGGUAAAUUUUGAAACAAUGGUACUUCUACUUGAAUUUUCAGAACCUAUUACUCCUUUGGCCUUUUGGGUGCGAGAGUGACUACCAAUUUUUGUGAGUUGUGCUGAAUUGACGAUAUCACAAGUGAGAGCUUCUAAUUUUUAAUUUAAUUCAUCAUGCCAGGCCUUAUUGGCGGCUUGCUCUUCUAAGAACAAGGUGAGAAUUCUGCCAAAUUGUUGCUGGAUAGAAUCCCCAUAAUCUCUAGCUCUGAUACCAAAUUGUUAGGAUCCCGUGUGUAGAAUCUAGUUAUAGGUUUGUAUAAUGAGUCUUUUAGCAAGAUAGGAGAAAGCAAGGAUAGAUUCUCUUUUUACAAUCUAUUUUGAAAAGUUGUCAAGCUCGUCUGAGAGAACCUGUAACCUCUUCAGUUUAAAGUACUAAAAGACUUUUUGAAAAUUUUUCUAACUGACGUUUAUUAAUAUGCUAUCAACUUCAAUACAAGUUGGAGUUUUAACUACAUCCUAACAAAUAGAAACUUAAAAUAGCACAAUGGAGACUAACCUCCUACAAAUCAGCAUUUGAAAAUAAAUAAACAAAACAUAGUGGUAACGUCAUAAAACCCGUGUUCUUAGCCACUACAUAUUACUAAUGCAUAAAUACAUAAUCUACGCCACUACCCACUACUGAAUAACUAUCCACUGAUGCAAACUACCCAUUGUUGCAUCAGUGACGAAGAAUCUGUUGAAUUGGUGGUUUGCUAAUAGUUACCUACUGAAAUUCAAGCAUUUUUUUAAUGGCACAACAAUAUUCUUCCACCUUCUUCGAAACGAAGGGAUGGAAAGGAAUUCAUCAGGAUGAUUGAAAGACAAUUAUCAACGUUGAUACAAUACUGAGAGAUACUUCUGGCUUGACUUUUAGCAGCUGAACAGCACACAAGAGACAGAAAUGUUGUCGUAUUAUUGUAAACAAGUUCAAUGCCGUCCCUGAAUCAAUUCCAGAUUGGGUAUUUGAUUUAUGACUAUGAAAGGUGGAUAUUUCAUUGCGAAUUAGCAAGAAUGGGUUUUAGAUGGUUUGCUUUCGAUAAUUGUGUUUGCCAUAUUAUCUUCACUUGGAACUCAAGAGUCAAUCCAUAGCCAAUACAGGUGAGCAGUGCUCAGUUCAGUCCAGACUAAAAAUGAGUAAAAAGCUGAAUCUAAUAGGAAAUAAAAUCAAACCGAACAAAGAGAAAAAAUGAUCUCAACUGGUUUAGUUUGGUUUGGUUCAUCUGUUUUACUUUUUCUUAUCUAUUUGCAGAACCCAUUUUCCUUUAGAAAAGGAAAAAAAUUAUACAAUACUCCCUGUACACUAAAAAUUAGUACUCAUCCUCAUAAAAAAUUAGUUAUUCCUAAAAUAAAAAAAGUGCCCUUAUACAAUUGUGCUUGUGCAGCUGGAGCUGCUAAUAAUCUCUCUUAGAGAAGAUCCAAGCAACAAGAGAGCAGCAAUUUCAGCUUUCAACUUAAACAUAGAAUAUUGUGUAUGUCUAGUUCUAACAAACAGAGCAUGUCAGAUACUAUAGUUGUACACAUAAACGGCAAUCCAUCUUGUCAUUUUGAUUACGAUAUUUGAAUUUUUACAAGGAAAACAAACAAAACACAACGAAAAUCAAAACCGAAACAGCAGAACCUCAGCUCAAUAUCGCACACAAGACUCGAAGCGCAAAGAAAACUUGAGAAAUGAUUCAGAAAAUUGAAAGAAAAUCUGGGUAGAGAAGUGAAGCAAAUGAGGGAAAGAGUGUUGACAUUUUAAAGAUGCUACAAAGGAAUUGAGUGAAACCAGGAACAGCAAAGGGUAAUGAUCGAUGAAACAACUGAACUUGGAGAGCCACAGACAGAAAAUAUGAACACUGGAGCUGCUUGUGUCGUUGAUGGAGGUAGUCGAGUUCAGAGGCCGUACAAGUGGUCCUUCGAGAGAAGAUAUUGAGAAAGGGAAGGAGAAUUGUUUGAUUAUAUAUUCUCACUUCGUCACCAAGAAAAACAAACUAUCAGUAUAUAGAAAUGUAAGUUUGUUUCAUCAUCUAUCAAAGCAAAUCAAAGUAAAAGUACCUUUCUUUGGAGAAAGUAAUUGGAACAUAAAUAGACAUCUAAAACUCAGUUUUAUUUCCAUAUCCUCAGAAACCGGCUCAUCUAAUUAAUUCACUUAAACAAUUAAACAAACCCCUAAUAUAUUUAGAAGAAGAGAAAGACAAAGAAACCUCAAGCGCGCGUUUGUUCAAUUUGAGCUUCCUCAAGCUGUUAAUGGCGUGAAAAAUGUCACCUCGAUAAAUUGGAAAGCCUUCGCGCAUCCAGCUUUGAUAGGCUAAACCAACCGAUUCUCCUCUAGCAAGCUUCUCAAUUCUCAAAGAUAAGCUCUUGGGUGCUUCUUGUUCUUCUGGUUCUAAUAUCUUCUUCUCGGGCGAACAAUUGCUAGUGUAGGUACAGAGAAAAUCGAAAUUGCGAGGAAUUUGGUAGAGAGGCGGACAACUGAUAGAAAGUGUUCGAUGAAUUGCUUGACAGAACCAGCGUCGGCCCAGAACGGCCAGCGCACGCAUGCUUCUUGUCCUUUUCGGGACCUGAAAGCGCGCUUACGCAAAAGAGCCAGAGAUCUUAUUUGAAAAAAGAUGCCGCCACAUGCAAAUGCUAAGAGCCCAAAGUCUUGCCCAGAAGAGAAACCAAAAUUGACGCUUAGCUGCCUACAAUCCAGCCCAGAAGAGAAACCGAAAUUGAAGCUUAGCUGCCUACAAUCCAGCCCAAGUCCUUUUCUGGGAUAUUUUGUCCACGCCAUUAAUAUUUAUAUAAAUUAUUGAAAAUUAAUAUAUGGAUGCAAAGUUCAAUGGAAAUUUGGAAUUGCAUUCUGCUCCCUAAAUUUCAUUGUGGAUAGACAAUUUUUAUUUAUCCAUGAAUCACAAAUGGGUUUGAUAUUUAUUCUCAAAUUUCUUAACAUUUAAAUAUCAAAUUUGAGAUACUAUAAGCACUAAUUAUCUUGUUUUUUUUCUUUGUGAUAGUGAUGAAGAAUAAUAAUGCAAUCAAAACAGAAUCGUAUGCCAUCUUUUCCUUUUUGUAUGGACGUAAACCACAGAAAAUCAUUUUUUAUAUUGUUUCUCCAAGUCCUUUUAUUUAUUACAUUUCAGGUAAUUAAUUAGAAAAAUAUCAUCAAUGAAAUUUAAACUCUAAAAUUUUAAUUAUCAUCAUUGAUUAAACUCUAUUUGACAAUACUAAUUGAUAUAAUAAUUGUUAUUGUCAAUAUAAUUAUUUAGAUAAUAGUUAAUCAAAUAUUAGAAUAAAUAAAUUUUCACAAUUCAGUUUCUUAAUCACUGAUUAUUAAAUAUUAUUUUGAAAAUUAUCACCGAGCAAACGCUUGGAGUUGUACAAUGUGGUGUGUAGGAUACAUGAUUGGUUUUGUAAUUAAUCAACUCAACAAGGGAAGAUAAACUAAUGGGUAAAAAGGUCAUCAUUAAUUCCAAGAUUGCCCUCUGCUGAACAAAGCCAAAGAAUAAAAAUAUAAAAAAGUAGGUUGAUGUAAUGUAAAGUGGAAAAGAAAUUGCAUCGCUUUGUAAUCAAGAUUACAAUGACAAAGAAAAAUGAAUUAGUGGCCACAUUGGAUUAGUAGAAUUUAGGUCAAAUCUAAUUAAUGGCCAACUAAUUUUUUUUUAAAAAAAAAAAAAAAUCAAGAACCCUUGCCAAAAAAGCUUUCUGUAGUAGUCCUUCAUGAUUGCUCUUUUUAUAGGUUCAUGUUGCCCCCUUUCCCCAACUCAGUCCAAAAUUUUCUGCUCCUGUAGUUCAACCUAAAAUUUCUAUUUAUCCACCCUUUUUUUCAUUCAUUUAUUUUAAUACUCUAUUUUUUUUCGUUUCUCAUUUUAUUUAAUAAUUAUAAUUGAGAAUUUCAUUUAUGGGAUUUAUUGAUAAAAAAAUUUAAUAAAAACUUUUUAACUUGUAUGUUUUUUGGGUAAUGUUGUGCCUGUGCGAAUUGUGAAUUUAACUUUUCAUGAAAUUUUAUGUUAUUACAUUCUGUGGCUAUGUGUGCAUGUUAUUAAUAAACUUUAUAUAAAAAUUAAGAAAAUAAAUUAAUUUCAAGUUUCAACUUCAAUACAAAGUGAUAUUGAAAGUGAUAAUCGAUCAUUCAUCAGGAAAGGAAAAAGGAAUUUAUCCGUUAACAUUAAUAUCUGGCUCUAUAUAUCAUCGUGAAUUAAUAUGUAGGCAAUGAUUUGGAUUUGUUUAUCUAGUUUGAUAAUAUAUAUAUCUUGCAAAUAAAAAAAAAUCCCUGUGAACUACUUCCAAAAUUUAAACUCUAGAUAGGAGUAAAUGCAGUGCCAACUUAACUGAUUUUGGAGUGUUUGAAAUAUUGGGUAAAACAAUAAAACCUGAAUCGUGUUGAACACUGUCUUUAAAGAUUUAUUUUAUGAUCCCCCAGGAUUAAACAAGUUCUUCUGAAAUAUACUUCUCAGGAUUAGAACAACAAGAAUUUAUCUCGAAUUUAUAACCCAGCAGGUAACAUAGAGAAAAUAAAUAAUAAAGAAGAAAAUUGGGAGUUUAUAUCUUUGUAAAGAGGAACACUAUUUAUUGUGGAAAACUUGACCGCUAUAUAUGGUUAUAAGAAUCUUGAAAUAAAAUCAUAACGGUUAUAUUUAAUAUUAUAUUUAAAUCUCAUAAAUAAAAUAUUUAAUGACCAUAAAAUCUUUAAUUACCAUAAAAUAUUUAACGACCAUAAAAUCUUUAAUUACCAUAAAAUCUCUAAUGACUAUAAAAUCUUUAAUAACUAUAAAAUCUUUUUGAAAUCUAAACUAAUUUUACAACAAUCCCCCACAGAUUUCAAAAGAUUUUCAUUGCUGGAUUUAGAAAUUUAGAGUGUAUGUUUCGAAUCUGGUGUCUUUUAUACUAUGAACCAGACCUAAAUUAAUAAUACUUAAUAUACAGAGUAAUUGGUGAAACUUUUGUUUCUAUGUACCAAAACUCUUUUUUAUAUGUUAAUUUCUCAUCAAUCUCAUAAUACUCCACAGAUCUUGUUGUCAACGCCGUUUUGCACUAAUAGGCCAUGCGCGCGCCUGGUAAUUCAUAAGUGCUCUAGAGAUUAUGCCACAAUCUCAUAGAAGCGGCCCCACUCCACACUUAUAUAGGUGAUAUCAUCAAGUGUAUACUGCAAUUUAUACACCACCCACAAGGGAUAUGAAUAUCAUUAAAAGAUUUCAUCUCAUCCUCUCAUUAAUGCAGUCUAGUACUUCUCACACCAUAGAAAGGGACAACAAUAAAUAGUGCUAUCAGAAUUAGAAGGUGAUUUGUUAUUACCCAUAUGAACCUUUUUCAUGGGAUCUCUAAUCGCAAAGGUUGGGUUACCAUCACUGUUAAUUUCAAACUGGCUUAGGUCCCAUUCCUCUCGAUGUUUCAUCUAUUAGUUUUCUCUCUAAAGAUUUAGUCAGAGAAUUGGCCAAAUUCACUUCUGACUUCACAUAAUCAAUGAAAAUAGUUCCAUCUUUCAGUAACUGCUUAACAACAUUAUGUCUCAGACGAAUAUGUUUAUUCUUACCAUUGAAAGUUUUAUUCUUUGCAAUGGCUAUUGCCGCUUGACAAUCACAACGCAUUGAUAUAGAUGGUGUUGAUAAAAAAUUCACUAAAUGCAACAAACUCCCAAUGAUCUAUGCAUAUUCAGACUCCAAUUUUCUUUAAUUGACAAUUAGGAUCAUAAGGGGUAGUUACUGGUUUAACAUUGAAAUGUCCAAACUUCCUUAGAAGCUUCUCAACAUAAUGCUCUUAUGAUAGCAUUGGACUAUCAUUCUUCCUUACGAUUCUAACUCUCAAAAUCACAUUUGUCUAUCCCACAUCUUUCAUAUCAAAUUUAGAGGCAAUGAAAGUUUUUGAUUUACAACUAUAUCAUAAUUUGUACCAAAAGUAAAUGCAUAUGAACAAAUAAUCACAGAUUCAUAAUUUAUACGUUCUGUAUAUACGCACUUAUCAAUCAUUUAUACAUUUUGUAUAUACACACUUAUCAACUUCAACAGAGAUAAAACCAUCAUUCAACAAAACUUAAUCAAAUUUCUCAUGCCACUGUUUGGAAACUUGUUUUAAACCAUAUAAUGAUCUAAGAAGUUUGCAGACUUUAUUUUCUUAACAAAAAAUAAUACAAUCAUUAGGUUGAACCAUAUAAAUUUCUUCUUCCAAGUCUCCAUUUAAAAAUGUUUUAACAUCCAUUUGAUAAAUAACAAGUUUAUGCUUAAAACCUAAAGCAAUUAAUACUUUAAUAGAAGAGAUUAUGUUUCAGGAAGUUAAAACAAGUGUAUGUAUAGAAGCUAAAGCAAACUUAUGAACUUGAGUUUAUAGGUUUCAGCAUAACUUAUAAACAUGCAAUCAAAAGUUUUUGAACAUAUUUUUCAUUUCUUAGGAUCAGGAAGAAUUGCUUUAGCAAGACACCCCCACACUUUUAAAUAUUUUAAAUUAGGUGUAUAACCUUUCUAAAGUUCAUAGGGUAUUUUAUCGGUUUUCUUAUAGGGUAUCAUAGUUUGUAGAUAACAAGCAGAUAAUAAAACUUCCCCCAAAAGUUAUUAGGUGAAGAAUAACUUAUUAAUAAAACAUUCAUCAUUUCUUUUAAUAUUCUAAUUUUUCUUUCCACUACUCCAUUGGAUUCAAGUGAAUAGGGUGGAAUAAAUUCAUAUAUGUUUCAGGAAGCUAAAACAAGUGUAUGUAUAGAAGCUAAAGCAAACUUAUGAACUUGAGUUUAUAGGUUUCAGCAUAACUUAUAAACAUGCAAUCAAAAGUUUUUGAACAUAUUUUUCAUUUCUUAGGAUCAUGAAGAAUUGCUUUAGCAAGACACCCUCACACUUUUAAAUAUUUUAAAUUAGGUGUAUAACCUUUCUAAAGUUCAUAGGGUAUUUUAUCGGUUUUCUUAUAGGGUAUCAUAUUUUGUAGAUAACAAGCAGAUAAUAAAGCUUCCCCCAAAAGUUAUUAGGUGAAGAAUAACUUAUUAAUAAAGCAUUCAUCAUUUCUUUUAAUAUUCUAAUUUUUCUUUCCGCUACUCCAUUGGAUUCAAGUGAAUAGAGUGGAAUAAAUUCAUAAAUUAUUCCUUCUUUUUUCACAAAAGUCAUUAAAUAAGAUACAUUCUCCACCUCUAUAUGAUUUUUUUUUAAAUUUUAAUUUUCCUCUUUAAUUGAUUCUCUACUCCAACUUUACACAAUUGAAAUAUAUCAAAUGCUUCGUCUUUGUUUCUGAGCAAAUAUACUUUAGUAUAUCUAGAAUAGUCAUCAAUAAAAGUUACAUAAUAUAUAUAUAUAUUUUUUAUUAAUAUAAGAAGCACUAACAUGUCCUAAUCUAACAUGCCAUAAAUCAAAAGAAUCAAGCAAAAAAGCACAAGAUGAUGUAUUUCCAUUUAUUAUUGCAAAAAUAUUGAGAAUAAAGAGUCUCUGAUUACAAUAACAUUUUUCAAUAAAAAUAUCAUUUUUAGUCAGUAUAAUUUUGUCUAACUCAAAGGACACCUUAAUCUCAUCAUUUCUCAAUAGUGUUACAGAAAUUAAAUUAGCUCUCAUAUUGGAUACAUGAAGUACCUCAUUAAGUGCCAAUGUCUUGUCAGAUGUGAGUUUGAGAAAAACUUUCCCUUUACUAAGGACACUUGCAGUCCUAGACUCACCCAAAUACACAUGUUCUUUUCCUUCCCCCACUAUAAAGUAGGAGGUAAAUGCAUUUCUGUUUGUACAAAUAUGCCUAGUAGCACCAAAAUCUACUACCCAUUCUAGCACAUUAGCUACAAGAAAAGUUUGAGAAAUAACCGCAGCAACAAUGUCAUCUCCUUCAACUAAAUUCAUUUUUGGUUUAGGAGGAUUGUCAUUUAUCACUCUUUUCCUUUUAAAGAUGAGAUUAUUAAACUUGAGUUUAUAAUCAGAUUUCUUGUUUUCAUACCUGUUAUUUGAUUUGUGCACUUUUUCUUUGUACAAGAUUUGCUCUUGUAGCCAACAUCCUUAGCAGUAUAUUUCAAGUUCAUUGAAUCUCAUAUUUUUUCAUUGAAUCCCAUAUUUCAUUGAAUCUCAUAUUUUCUUGGCUUCCUUGUAGGAACAGUAGUUAUCAAAGAAAUGGUUAAAAAGAGUACUGAUAAUUGUAUACCUACAUACCUUAUUAGAAUAGACCCAUAUUUCAUGCAAUUUUGGAUCAACAGCAGGUACAUGUCUUGAUUCUCAAUUUUUGAGAUGUGAGGACAGUAGACAGAAGAGACCCACCAUUUGCAAAAGUAAGAAGCGUGGCGGCGGAAAGAACAACAGAAGUAGUGGUAGUUAUAAUGUCAUUGGAGUAGGCAGUGCAGAAGCAAAGGCAGUGACAACAUUUGAUUCCAUUUGUGUAAAGAUAAAUCCUUAAGAUUGUUGAAAAUAUUGGAUAAAACAAUAAAACCUGAGUCGUGUUGAACACUGUCCUUAAGAAUUUAUUUUGUAAUCCCCAAAAUUAAACAGGUUUUUCUGAAAUAUACUUUCCAAGAAUCAAGACAACAAAAAUUUAUCUGAUUUAUAAUCUAGCAGGUAACACAGAAAAAAAAAAUAAUAAAAAAAAAUUGAGAGUUUAUAUAUUUGUAAAGACGAAAAUUAUUUAUUAUGAAAAUUUAACCGCUAUAUAUGAUUAUAAAUAUUUUAAAAUAAAAUCAUAACGGUCAUAUUUAAUAUUAUAUUUAAAUUUCAUAAAUAAAAUAUUUAAUGAUAAUAAAAUUUUUAAUGAAUAUAAAAUAUUCAACAAUUAUAAAAUUUUUAAUUAUCUUAAAAUUUUGGACUAUCAUAAAAUCUUCUAAACUAAUUUGUUACUUCACGAGUUGGUAGACCAAAUCUAGAUUGUUUUUCAGUAGGUGUUUGGGAGACGUCAUCAUCACCUGCCUCCGGGGUUUCAAACUCAAGAUUGACAAAUAAACAGAGGUUUGCGCUUUUUUUGGGACUCAACCUAACAUGGGGAAGGGAGGAAAAUAGAAACCUGAUUAUCGGGGAUUCCACGCACUCUUCCGGUCAGUGGUAGGCAAGUUAGUUUAGAUGAAAUCAUAAUAAAAUCUUUAUCAUCAAAUCAAUAGCAUAAGUAGUUAUGAAACUCAACAAAUUGAAGUCGAUUAUAACAGAUAAUUAUAGAAAAGAACGAAAGAGGAGGUGGGAAAAGUAGAUCAUAUUUAAGUUAAAAGGAGUUAUAACCAUAGACAACAACACUAAUCGAGUUCCCCUUCCAAAAGUACACAGAAGACCAAGUUAAGACCAGCAAAGCAGAAACACUUAACACAUAAAACAAGCCAUUCAGGAAAUUAAAUCCUCAUACAAGGAUUUUGAUUACCUAUGGCUGUUUUAUUUACAGCAGCAAGCCGACAACUAUUUUACAUAUUCAUUAACAAACCCUUUUGCAUCCGUUUUUUUGGGGAUUUAUUAAAAACAUCAAGUACAGGCUUUGCUAGGUCCAUGUCCAUGCUGCUUUCUCAUUUGCAGUUGCAUGGAUCACAGCUGCAGCUUGAUCCACACUUGCACCCAUUUCCACUCUCAGCACCAAAGUUCAUCUCA
RNAcentral lists this long non-coding RNA (16259 nucleotides) under Manihot esculenta (cassava). RNAcentral's name for it is "long non-coding RNA (MESC_LNC000578)". The record is from RNAcentral. Lineage: Eukaryota; Viridiplantae; Streptophyta; Magnoliopsida; Malpighiales; Euphorbiaceae.